This 75-nucleotide transfer RNA is filed under the name Patescibacteria group bacterium. RNAcentral's name for it is "tRNA-Arg". It matches the Rfam family "tRNA". Rfam says of the family: Transfer RNA (tRNA) molecules are approximately 80 nucleotides in length. Their secondary structure includes four short double-helical elements and three loops (D, anti-codon, and T loops). Further hydrogen bonds mediate the characteristic L-shaped molecular structure. tRNAs have two regions of fundamental functional importance: the anti-codon, which is responsible for specific mRNA codon recognition, and the 3' end, to which the tRNAs corresponding amino acid is attached (by aminoacyl-tRNA synthetases). tRNAs cope with the degeneracy of the genetic code in two manners: having more than one tRNA (with a specific anti-codon) for a particular amino acid; and 'wobble' base-pairing, i.e. permitting non-standard base-pairing at the 3rd anti-codon position. The record is from RNAcentral. RNAcentral also lists the same sequence under 2 other names.
GCCCCCGUAGCUUAAUGGAUAAAGCAGGGCUCUUCUAAGGCCUUGAUGUAGGUUCAAUUCCUGCCGGGGGUACCA